AACAGGAUUAGAUACCCUGGUAGUCCACGCUGUAAACGAUGUCGACUUGGAGGUUGUGCCCUUGAGGCGUGGCUUCCGGAGCUAACGCGUUAAGUCGACCGCCUGGGGAGUACGGCCGCAAGGUUAAAACUCAAAUGAAUUGACGGGGGCCCGCACAAGCGGUGGAGCAUGUGGUUUAAUUCGAUGCAACGCGAAGAACCUUACCUACUCUUGACAUCCAGAGAAUUUGCUAGAGAUAGCUUAGUGCCUUCGGGAACUCUGAGACAGGUGCUGCAUGGCUGUCGUCAGCUCGUGUUGCGAAAUGUUGGGUUAAGUCCCGCAACGAGCGCAGCCCUUAUCCUUUGUUGCCAGCACGUAAUGGUGGGAACUCAAAGGAGACUGCCGGUGAUAAACCGGAGGAAGGUGGGGAUGACGUCAAGUCAUCAUGGCCCUUACGAGUAGGGCUACACACGUGCUACAAUGGCAUAUACAAAGAGAAGCGAACUCGCGAGAGCAAGCGGACCUCAUAAAGUAUGUCGUAGUCCGGAUUGGAGUCUGCAACUCGACUCCAUGAAGUCGGAAUCGCUAGUAAUCGUAGAUCAGAAUGCUACGGUGAAUACGUUCCCGGGCCUUGUACACACCGCCCGUCACACCAUGGGAGAGGGUUGCAAAAGAAGUAGGUAGCUUAACCUUCGGGAGGGCGCUUACCACUUUGUGAUUCAUGACUGGGGUGAAGUCGUAACAAGGUAACC
This 731-nucleotide ribosomal RNA is filed under the name uncultured bacterium. RNAcentral describes it as "bacterial SSU rRNA". It matches the Rfam family "Bacterial small subunit ribosomal RNA", at positions 771 to 1501 of the family's 1533-position model. The record is from RNAcentral.